ACUCAAAGGAAUAGACGGGGGCCCGCACAAGCGGAGGAACAUGUGGUUUAAUUCGAUGAUACGCGAGGAACCUUACCUGGGUUUGAACGUAGAGAGACCGGUGCCGAAAGGUGCCUUCCCUUCGGGGCUGUCUACGAGGUGCUGCAUGGUUGUCGUCAGCUCGUGCCGUGAGGUGUCGGAUUAAGUUCCAUAACGAGCGCAACCCUUAUCGUUAGUUGCCAGCGGGUAAUGCCGGGGACUCUAACGAAACUGCCGGUGUAAACCGUGAGGAAGGUGGGGAUGACGUCAAAUCAGCACGGCCCUUACAUCCAGGGCUACACACGUGUUACAAUGGCCAUUACAAAGGGCAGCUACUUCGCGAGAAGAUGCUAAUCUCUAAAAAUGGUCUCAGUUCGGAUUGAAGUCUGAAACCCGACUUCAUGAAGCUGGAUUCGCUAGUAAUCGCGCAUCAGCCAUGGCGCGGUGAAUACGUUCCCGGGCCUUGCACACACCGCCCGU
Molecule: ribosomal RNA, 498 nt
Filed under: uncultured bacterium
Lineage: Bacteria
Description: bacterial SSU rRNA
Rfam family: Bacterial small subunit ribosomal RNA
Source: RNAcentral